Molecule: ribosomal RNA, 589 nt
Filed under: uncultured bacterium
Lineage: Bacteria
Description: bacterial SSU rRNA
Rfam family: Bacterial small subunit ribosomal RNA
Source: RNAcentral
GACGGGGGCCCGCACAAGCGGAGGAACAUGUGGUUUAAUUCGAUGAUACGCGAGGAACCUUACCCGGGCUUGAACUGCAGGUGAACGAUCCAGAGAUGGUGAGGUCCUUCGGGACACCUGUGGAGGUGCUGCAUGGUUGUCGUCAGCUCGUGCCGUGAGGUGUCGGCUUAAGUGCCAUAACGAGCGCAACCCUUUUCUCUAGUUGCCAUCAGGUUAAGCUGGGCACUCUGGAGACACUGCCACCGUAAGGUGUGAGGAAGGUGGGGAUGACGUCAAAUCAGCACGGCCCUUACGUCCGGGGCUACACACGUGUUACAAUGGGGAGUACAGCGAGUCGGUUGUAUGCAAAUGCGAUCCAAUCAUGAAAGCUCUCCUCAGUUCGGAUUGGGGUCUGCAACCCGACCCCAUGAAGCUGGAUUCGCUAGUAAUCGCGCAUCAGCCAUGGCGCGGUGAAUACGUUCCCGGGCCUUGUACACACCGCCCGUCAAGCCAUGAAAGCCGGGGGCGCCUGAAGUCCGUGACCGCGAGGGUCGGCCUAGGGUGAAACCGGUGAUUGGGGCUAAGUCGUAACAAGGUAGCCGUACCGGAA